GCUAGAGAUCCGACAGACAGCUAUCUUUGCUGAAAUCCUAAUACUCACAGAAGAAGGACUUCAUGGAUUUAAAGCCCUGGCAUUUCUCCACGGCGAUGUGGGCUAGAAUCCAAAUUGGGUCAAAAUGCCAAAAAACAUUCCCCGUGUUUGCCCGAGGCUCACAGUCCUCCGGCCUGACUUCUUAAAAUGAAGAAACUCUGGAAAGAACACUGUUCGAAUCAGUCAUUCCUAACCCAUUUGGCAGCUCCAGGAAUCAAACUACAGUCCCUCGAGUUCAAUGAGAUUAACAUGCCAGCCCACUAAUUUUCCUCCAAAGAGCCCUGGAAUGAAUAUAAUACAGCACGACAAUGCAUCAGCACCGAUGUUACGACUGAAGUGGAUUAGCAGGGCUUUCAGAAACUACCUCGCUCAGUUCUGUCUGGGAUCAGCAAAAAUGAUGAAAACACUCAAAUUAAUCAUUUUUAUUAACUGGAGUGGAGGUGUGGGGCAGAGGGGAAGAAGCGUUUAAAACUUCAUUGUGCAAUGAGACAAAUUGGAGUUCUGCUGGCGGAAUUGUCCUUGGGGCAGCAUGAUGUCAUUCGGUUCACAGAAUAAAAUGCUAAAUGAAUGGCCACAAGCUGCAUGCACUUUAUCACCACAUCAAAUGCAACAGGCCUCUUUGUUCCGAACCUCUCGGUGUGUGGAGCUUGUCCAGAUGAGAGACAGCCACAUUGCAUUCUGUUGCAUCAUACAAUGCAAGCCGUGGGCUCACCAGCACAAUGAUUACUCUCCCACUGGCCAGACACAGCUGAGAUUCAGAAGAGGCCCUUCCACACUCCAGCAGGAGCCUGGGAUUUCGAAUCGUCAUGGACUGGUCAACGAGGAAGCGUUUCUGUGACAAACUUAGGGUGGACAUCCUGGAGACGGCCAACCAGCAGGUGCAGUACCAAAGGGGAAAGGCGUCUCAGCAAGUGGAAAGGCAGCAGAGCACUGGGGCAGAGGAGGAGAGACUGCCUCUGGAGCAGGACUGCAGCAAAAAGACCUGUUUGAGGGGCUGCUUGCACUAAUGGCCACAAGGCUUCUGCCCCAUGUUCCGAGUGCCCUCCAGGGUGCCGUGUCUUGCGGGCCAGGAAUGCAUUGGACAAUACCAUGGUCCGGUGACCCGUGCUGCUUGGACAGGGUAAAAGUACUCCUGGCAGUCCUCCCUCCCUCGCAGCCCUCCAUGCACCUUCAGCAGCUCCACGUUGGUGGUAGAAAUGAGGAGGAGAAAGGGGGCUCUGGGCCAUGCAAAGGUAGGCAAUUUGUUUGCACUGGCUUCACUGUUUUGCACUGUUCGUUGUUUGUGUUAUGCAAUUUAUGUCAUUACUGGUUUGGAUGUUGGCUUAUUACUGGUGUUUUGGUGUUGGGAUGGCAGCUGGCCUGCCGGACAAUGCUUCAUAUUGGGUAAUGUUACCAGGGACUGUAACCGCUAGGCAGCAUGGCCACUGACUCUCGCCAUUGGAUGACAUAGCCUGGAGUAUCUCCACUAGGCAGUACUGCCAGCCUUGGACUCAAAACACCCUUUGACAAACCAGAUCCAGAAAUUCUAAACUAGGGUCACUCUUCAGUGUGGACGCACGAGCCCGGGUUUACAAACACUACGCCAGUGGGCUCGAGUCCCACUGACGCUGGGAUUACAUUGUGAGGCAGACAUUCCAAAAGGCUCUGAUCCUGCACAUGCCUGCUUAAUUUGACUCUCGCGAUUCAUCUAAUUUAGGUCAAGGGGAGUCCCUGCAUCCUUACAGUGAAAUCUCUGAGCAAGUGGCUUCAGGAUCAGGGCAGGGCUCUCACAUUUCACAGCCAAGCCAUUGGGAGAUUUUUUUAAGGUCAGGUACAUGUUACUGUGAGACAACAUAGCAGCUAAUAAAGUACAAUAU
Long non-coding RNA from Mauremys reevesii (Reeves's turtle), 1895 nucleotides. RefSeq lists it as uncharacterized. The transcript is spliced from 4 exons. Lineage: Eukaryota; Metazoa; Chordata; Testudines; Geoemydidae. The record is from RefSeq and is a predicted model, not a curated record.